Molecule: ribosomal RNA, 253 nt
Filed under: uncultured bacterium
Lineage: Bacteria
Description: partial 16S ribosomal RNA
Rfam family: Bacterial small subunit ribosomal RNA
Source: RNAcentral
UACGUAGGGUGCAAGCGUUGUCCGGAAUUAUUGGGCGUAAAGAGCUCGUAGGCGGUUAGUCGCGUCUGCUGUGAAAACUCGGGGCUUAACUCCGGGCCUGCAGUGGGUACGGGCUGACUAGAGUGCGGUAGGGGAGACUGGAAUUCCUGGUGUAGCGGUGAAAUGCGCAGAUAUCAGGAGGAACACCGGUGGCGAAGGCGGAUCUCUGGGCCUUGCCUGACGCUGAGGCGCGAAAGCUAGGGGAGCGAACAGG